AUACGGAGGGGGCUAGCGUUAUUCGGAAUUACUGGGCGUAAAGCGCACGUAGGCGGGCGGAGAAGUCAGAGGUGAAAUCCCAGGGCUCAACCUUGGAACUGCCUUUGAAACUUUCUGUCUUGAGGUCGUGAGAGGUGAGUGGAAUUCCGAGUGUAGAGGUGAAAUUCGUAGAUAUUCGGAGGAACACCAGUGGCGAAGGCGGCUCACUGGCACGAUACUGACGCUGAGGUGCGAAAGCGUGGGGAGC
Molecule: ribosomal RNA, 247 nt
Filed under: uncultured bacterium
Lineage: Bacteria
Description: partial 16S ribosomal RNA
Rfam family: Bacterial small subunit ribosomal RNA
Source: RNAcentral